RNAcentral lists this transfer RNA (85 nucleotides) under Felis catus (domestic cat). It matches the Rfam family "tRNA". From Rfam's summary of the family: Transfer RNA (tRNA) molecules are approximately 80 nucleotides in length. Lineage: Eukaryota; Metazoa; Chordata; Mammalia; Carnivora; Felidae. The record is from Rfam by way of RNAcentral.
GCCUUGGUGGCUCAGUCCGUUGAGCAUCUGACUUCAGCUCAGGUCAUGAUCUCACGGUUCGUGGGUUCAAGCCCCACGUCGGGCU